GUCUUCCGGCGGAAGUUGUCGCUUCACCGCAGUCGCAGCCUCCGUCCCAGUCGUGAGGGGUCCGAGGGUCCAGUCCUUGUGUUGUCUUCGCCCCGGCUCCCCGCCAUCCAGAGACCCAGGGGUCAGACGAGGGUCGGGGGUGGGGACACGCAUCCUAGCCACUGUCCUGCCUGGGAUCCGGUCUCCCCCGCCCCCCAGCUGCAGGUGGAUAAAGAGGAAGAUGUGAAGAGGAAGCAGACAAAAGCAAAAGGAAAUCCUGCCAGUAGCAAACGGCCAAAUUACAAUUCAGAUGUGCAAUGUUUGCACACUGUCCUAUAGCAAAGGAGAUGUGUAUAGAAGCUCUGAAGAACCUGGAAUUUUAAGCCAUAGCCCACUUCAGAAUUGUAUUCUAGUCACUGAAAAUUUAAUACUGCCACAUUUUGUGGAGAUUCUAUCUCUGGCAGUAGUUCUUCACUGGGAAACUUUUUUUUUUUUUUUUUGAGACAAGGUCUCACUCUGUCACUCUGUCGCCCAGGCUAGAGUGCAGUGGUGCAAUCUUGGCUCACUGCACCCUCCACCUCCCGGGUUCAAGCGAUUCUCCUGCCUCAGCCUCCCGAGUAGCUGGGAUUACAGGCAUGUGCCACCACGCCUGGCUAAUUUUCUAUUUUUAGUAGAGAUGGGGUUUCUCCAUGUUGGCCAGGCUGUUCUCCCAACCUCUGGUGAUCCGCCUGCCUUGGCCUCCCAAAGUGCUGGGAUUACAGGCGUGAGCCACCAUGCAUGGCCAGCUUGUCAUAUUUUUAAAAGACAACCCUGUGAUGUUAGAUUGGAAUUAGAUGCAUUUGUGUGAACAUGAUAUAUGAUGCAGAUACAGAAAUAACUAUAAAUGUGCAAGUCCCCUAGCUCUAUCCUAUGAGAAAGUCUGGGAGCUGCAAUACCCUAGUGGAAAUAGGCACACCCAGCACCCAGAUCUCGUUUCCAAACACCCCUCUCCACUAUACGGAAGCAGCGCUCCUUGAAGAUGUGGCCAGUUACAGGGUCAUGAAAAAACAAGACAAACCCGGAACACCUUGUGCUUCAAGGGGACAGCAGUAACCUCACCAGUAACUGGACAGAAAGACACAGAAUAGGAUAAAAAGAACAGAGUCUGUGACAUUCAGGCUUCAAAUACACAGGUGGGGUCUAAUCAUGCAGAAACAUAAAUCCACAUUGAAAGACUUUCUUCAAAAUGAUCAGCCUAUAACCUCCACAAACGCCAAAAUCGUGGAGGUUCAGGAAGACUGAGGAACGGCACCAGGUGGACAGAAACGAGCACUGUGAUGAAUGGGGUGAAGCACGUGAUCCUGGGCUGUAGCCUUUGCUCUAAAGGAAUAGUCUCUGGGCAAAGGAGUGUACAGGAGUUCUUGGUACUCUUCUUGCCUAUUUUCCGCUGCAAUCUACUCGGCUUGCUGCUGCCCACGCCGCGGACUGCCUGGGACUGCCGGCGCGCGCCACCGCCUGCCUUUUCGCUGCAGGCACGCGUUCGCCAUCUUGGCCACGCUGGUCGCCAGCUCCUGACGCCGAGUGCUCUGCCCGCCUCAGCCUCCCGAGGUACUGGGAUUGCAGACGGAGUCUCGCUCACCCAGUGCUCGGUGUUGCCCGCGCUGGAGCGCGGUGGCGUGGUCUGGCCUCGCGGCAGCCCCCGCCCCCCAGCCGCCUACCUUGGCCUACCAGGGUGCUGGGAUUGUAGCCCCUGCCCGGCCGCCGCCCCAUCUGGGAGGUGGGAAGCGCCUCUGCCCGGCCGCCCCGUCUGGGAGGUGAGGAGCGCCUCUGCCCGGCCACCCACCGUCUGGGAAGUGAGGAGCGCCUCUGCCCGGCCACCCACCGUCUGGGAAGUGAGGAGCGCCUCUGCCCGGCCACCCACCGUCUGGGAAGUGAGGAGCGCCUCUCCCCGGCCACCCACCGUCUGGGAAGUGAGGAGCGCCUCUGCCCGGCCACCCACCGUCUGGGAAGUGAGGAGCGCCUCUGCCCGGCCACCCACCGUCUGGGAAGUGAGGAGCGCCUCUGCCCGGCCACCCACCGUCUGGGAAGUGAAGAGCGCCUCUGCCCGGCCACCCACCGUCUGGGAACUGAGGAGCGCCUCUGCCCGGGCGCCCCGUCCGGGAAGAAGUGAGGAGCGCCUCUGCCCGGCCGCCCCGUCCGGGAAGAAGUGAGGAGCGCCUCUGCCCAACCGCCCCGUCCGGGAAGAAGUGAGGAGCGCCUCUGCCCGGCCGCCCCGUCCGGGAAGAAGUGAGGAGCGCCUCUGCCCGGCCGCCUCGUCUGGGAGGUGAGGAGUGCCUCUGCCCGGCCACCCAUCGUCUGGGAGGUGAGGAGCGCCUCUGCCCGGCCACCCAUCGUCUGGGAGGUGAAGAGCGCCUCUGCCCGGCCGCCCCAUCUGGGAAGUGAGGAGCGCCUCUGCCCGGCCACCCAUCGUCUGGGAAGUGAGGAGCGCCUCUGCCCGGCCACCCAUUGUCUGGGAGGUGAGGAGCGCCUCUGCCCGGCCACCCAUCGUCUGGGAAGUGAGGAGCGCCUCUGCCCGGGCGCCCCGUCCGGCAAGAAGUGAGGAGUGCCUCUGCCCGGGCGCCCCAUCCGGGAAGAAGUGAGGAGCGCCUCUGCCCGGCCUCCCAUCGUCUGGGAGGUGAGGAGCGCCUCUGCCCGGCCACCCCGUCCGGGAGGAAGUGAGGAGCGCCUCUGCCCGGCCGCCCCGUCUGGGAAGAAGUGAGGAGCGCCUCUGCCCGGGCGCCCCGUCCGGGAAGAAGUGAGGAGCGCCUCUGCCCGGCCUCCCAUCGUCUGGGAGGUGAGGAGCGCCUCUGCCCGGCCUCCCAUCGUCUGGGAGGUGAGGAGUGCCUCUGCCCGGCCACCCAUCGUCUGGGAGGUGAAGAGCGCCUCUGCCCGGCCACCCAUCGUCUGGGAGGUGAGGAGCACCUCUGCCCGGCCGCCCCAUCUGGGAAGUGAGGAGUGCCUCUGCCCGGCCACCCAUCGUCUGGGAGGUGAGGAGCGCCUCUGCCCGGCCACCCAUCGUCUGGGAGGUGAGGAGCGCCUCUGCCCGGCCGCCCCAUCUGGGAAGUGAGGAGUGCCUCUGCCCGGCCACCCAUCGUCUGGGAAGUGAGGAGCGCCUCUGCCUGGCCACCCAUCGUCUGGGAAGUGAGGAGCGCCUCUGCCCGGCCACCUAUCGUCUGGGAAGAAGUGAGGAGCGUCUCUGCCUGGCCGCCCCGUCUGGGAAGUGAGGAGCUCCUCUGCCUGGCCGCUCCGUCUGGGAGGUCUACCACGGAGGCCAGAAGCAAUGUGGGGGCUGGACGUGGUGGCUCACGCCUGUGGUCCCGGCACUCUGGGGGGGUGAGGCGGGUUGAUCACUUCGGGCUAGGAGUUCGAGACCAGUCUGGCCAACUUGGCGAAACAUGAAGAAUACAACAGACAGACCAACCAACCAACUCAGUGACAACAAAACAGGUCUACCCUGGAGUCAUACUCUAAUUUUUUCUAUUUUCCUCCCUUUCUGAUCCUUUAUCCCACUUUCUUUUUCUUCCUCUUCCUUCUCCCUCUUCUUUGUCAAAUAGAGGAUUGAGUUAUUAUCACUGAUCCAUAUAAAGUCCCUCUCUCAUUUAUUUUAACUCCCACCCCCCAUUUCUAUUCCCCGACUUCCCAUGUGCAACCUUCCUAAUAUGUUUGAUACGCAUCUUUUUGUUUGUAUGUAUUUUUAGAAAAUGUUUAUUGUUUUUGUAUGCAAAAAAAUUAAUAAAAAAAAAGUAAAAAAAAAAAUAAUAAUAAUAAUAAAAAAUAAAAAAAUAGUAAAGUGUCAA
Molecule: long non-coding RNA, 3794 nt
Organism: Symphalangus syndactylus (siamang)
Lineage: Eukaryota; Metazoa; Chordata; Mammalia; Primates; Hylobatidae
Source: RefSeq, a predicted model, not a curated record